RNAcentral lists this ribosomal RNA (1095 nucleotides) under Lecithophyllum botryophorum. Its description in RNAcentral is "partial large subunit ribosomal RNA". It matches the Rfam family "Eukaryotic large subunit ribosomal RNA", at positions 149 to 910 of the family's 3401-position model. The record is from RNAcentral. Lineage: Eukaryota; Metazoa; Platyhelminthes; Trematoda.
UGUUUAGGUUUGUUUUGCGAAGUCAUUGCUCUACUCUAAGUCCAGUUAUGAAUACGGUCAUUGGACAUGGCCCUCAGAGGGUGAAAGGCCCGUGUGAGUAGAGACCUCGGCGGUGGCUUCCUAAUCGAACCUUGGAGUCGGGUUGUUUGAGAAUGCAGCCCAAAGUGGGUGGUAAACUCCAUCCAAGGCUCAAUACUGGCACGAGUCCGAUAGCGAACAAGUACCGUGAGGGAAAGUUGAAAAGUACUCUGAAGAGAGAGUAAACAGUACGUGAAACCGCACAGAGGUAAACGGGUAGAGUUGAACUGCAAGCCUGGAAGAUUCAGCUGGUGAGUUUGGUCGUGCCUGGCAUAGAGGUCUGCUUAACUGCAGGUCAUUGCUCUCGGGGUGAUGAUUGGCGAUACACUUGACAUGUGUUGCGUGCCCCUGUGCUAGUGGUCGGCUUGUCAGUGCACUUCUUUCAGGUGUUCAUCACGACCGACGCUGCUGUCUGUCUGCUGUGGCCAAACCAGUGGAGUUUGGUCUUCUGGCCUUGCUCUGCCGGGAUGGCAGGUAGCCUGUUAGCCUUCUGGUUUUCAGGUGUAAUAGCUGGUCGCAGUGGAUCUGUGCAGUGCGUCGGAGACGGCGGCUUUUGUGGUGUAGAUGCUGUCAGUGUGCGGCCGUGUUUUGCCAAUGUGUGAAGCUCGGUUUGUGCGCUUGGCGGUUCUUUGCGCUGCUUUAUUGGCCGAUAGUCUGUGAUGUAGUGGUAAACUCUCUACCCGACCCGUCUUGAAACACGGACCAAGGAGUUUAACAUGUGCGCGAGUCAUUGGGUUAUCGAAACCUACAGGCGAAAUGAAAGUAAAGGUCUGGCUAGUCUGGACUGAGGUGAGAUCCGGUCGUUCUAAUGCUUUCUUAGUGUUUGAUCGUCAGGCGCAUCACCGGCCCGUCCCAUGGUGUAGUCAUGGUGCCUUGUGUGCUGUGCAUCACCGGGGUGGAGCAUGAGCGUACAUGUUGAGACCCGAAAGAUGGUGAACUAUGCUUGUGCAGGUUGAAGCCAGAGGAAACUCUGGUGGAGGACCGCAGCGAUUCUGACGUGCAAAUCGAUCGUCAAAC